RNAcentral lists this ribosomal RNA (253 nucleotides) under uncultured bacterium. Its description in RNAcentral is "partial 16S ribosomal RNA". It matches the Rfam family "Bacterial small subunit ribosomal RNA", at positions 524 to 776 of the family's 1533-position model. The record is from RNAcentral.
AACGUAGGAGGCGAGCGUUAUCCGGAUUUACUGGGCGUAAAGCGCACGCAGGCGGCUUCGUUAGUCGGACGUGAAAGCUCCUGGCUUAACUGGGAGAGGCCGUUCGAUACUGCGAGGCUUGAGGUUGGGAGAGGGGUGUGGAAUUCCCGGUGUAGUGGUGGAAUGCGUAGAUAUCGGGAGGAACACCUGUGGCGAAAGCGGCACCCUGGCCCACACCUGACGUUGAGGUGUGAAAGCGUGGGUAGCAAACAGG